ACGUUCGGGUAAUCGCUGCAAGAAGCAUUUGCUUGCUUGUAGAGGAAAGUCCAUGCUCGCACGAGCUGAGAUGCUCGUAGUGUUCGUGCCUAGCGAAAACAUAAGCUAGGGCAGUUUGAGCCAUUGGUUUGGCUGACGGCCGGGAAAAUACCUAAGUCCCAAAAGGAUAUGGUAUGAAUACCUAUAAAAGUGCCACAGUGACGGAGCCUUUUCAGAAAUGAAAAGGGUGGAACGAGGUAAACCCCGCGAGCGAGAAACCCAAAUAAUGGUAGGGGCACUUUCUCUGAGGAAUUGAACGAGGAGAAGGACAGAUUCCUUGCGAAUCUGUAGAUAGAUGAUUACCACCUAAGUACGAGACGUAUAAACGUCGUUUGUAGUACACUGGUACAGAACAUGGCUUACAGAA
Molecule: RNase P RNA, 406 nt
Filed under: Neobacillus niacini
Lineage: Bacteria; Bacillati; Bacillota; Bacilli; Caryophanales; Bacillaceae
Description: RNase P RNA component class B
Rfam family: Bacterial RNase P class B
About the family: Ribonuclease P (RNase P) is a ubiquitous endoribonuclease, found in archaea, bacteria and eukarya as well as chloroplasts and mitochondria. Its best characterised activity is the generation of mature 5'-ends of tRNAs by cleaving the 5'-leader elements of precursor-tRNAs.
Source: RNAcentral